GACGCACUCGCUCCCAGCUCUCUGCCAGGGAGAGAACCUAUUUGCAUACAAUUUAUUGCAAAAGUAGGAAUUCCCUCUUUCCUCUUCUGCCCCCGACCGGGAGCAGCUGUUAGUAAAGUGUGACUUUUGCUUUUGCUCCCCCAAAGGAUUUUCUAAUUGUGAGACAGCAGCGCAGGGAGCGAGGGGGAACUCUGGAUCUCUCCCCAGGCAGGCUGGAAACGUGGCAACAGGACCCGGGCUCGCCAGCCCGGGUGCUCACCGGGCAGCAGCUGCUCAGUGGCAUCUUGGAGAGAGCGGAGAGGCUGAGCCGAAUUCCUGGAAAGAGGAGAUAAAGCCUUUCAAAAGCCUGGGGUGUUUGGGGUUUCUGGGGCCAGCAGAGAGAUAAGGGAUUAGUUCCCAGCAGGUGGGAACAGCGCUGGGCACACAGAUCAGUUCCCAGCCUGUUUUGAGGGGGGAGGGAGCCUUGCCCAGCUGCUUAGAGGCAGUAUUGUCUCAGCCCUGGUAUCCUACAGGGGAGUAGCUUUUUGACACCGUUCAUGCCCUGUGCAGUGAUCCGGUCUUCUAAGCUGGGUCUUCUAAGAGAGUUCCCUGAGGUUUCUUCUCAAUUGCUGAAAGGUAUCCAUCAUAAGAAAAAAAAAAAAAAGUAGCUAGUUAAUCUUUGAAACAUAAGCUGUGCCUUCGCUCUCCAGGCUGCUGUGGAUUCGUUCCAAGCUCUGAGUCACUGGCACUGUGAGAGUUCCCUGUGGCCAAGAACUGUGCCUUGCAUCUUGAAGCACUGAGAAGUCAAUUAAUGUUCCUGUGAAAAGACUGAAUGAUGAGUUGAAUGAUGGAAAAGGCAUAAGACUGGCACAAGCAGUUUUGGAGUCCAGCCAUCUUAACCAUUUUCAAGAUUUCUUUUGUGGACAAGGAUGCAUAGCAGUGGCUCAUGCUGACAGUGACUCCCACUAGGCACUUUUUACGUAGUUUGUAUAACGUACGGUGAAUCAUUGCUAAAUCCCAAGAGUCCACCGUUUGUCCCACUGCUCAGUUAUUGGUAUUUAGUGUGUGAAACCAUUCCCCUUCAGUCCAGUGAACAAUGACACCAUGUGAGAUGCCAGAGAGACAAAGAUAAAUCAGCCAUGAUUCAUGAGCUUUAGGAACUUACCAACACCUGGGAGAGCCAGCCACAAGAACAUUUUAUUCUCAUACAUCAUAUAGUCACGUGGCGUAGACACCUGGACAGUGUGGAAGCAGAGAUGAGAGGCACCUACCCAAGCCUGGGAGAAUGGAAAUGCCUUCCUGGAGGAUUAAUGGAUUCAACCAAUUCAUGAUUUCACCCAUUCACUAAAUAUUUAUCGGGCACCUCUUCUGUGCCAGGUGCUCAUAUUAGGGGAUGCAGUACUAAGGCAAAAUGCUCCUCUAUUUAGUGGGAGAGACGAAACACAUGCGUAAUUAUUCAAGUAGCAGUAUUGUGAAGAAUAUAACAAGGCAAAGUUCUAAAGAAUGAUAUGGGGUUAGGAUUUAUUUUUUACAUAUGUAUGUGUGUCUUUUAUUGAAGUAUAGUUGCUUUACAACGUUGUGUUAGUUUCUGAUGUAUGACAAUGUGAAUUAUGUUCUGAAUUGUAUGCAUGCAUGUGCGAAUUAUAUGUAUACAGACAUCCCCUCCCUCUGAGAUCUCCCUCCCACCCCCCCCACGCCACUCAUCUAGGUCAUCACAGAGCAUUGAGCUGAGCUCCCUGUGCUAUCCAGUAGGUUCCCAGCAGUAUUUAUUUUAAAAAGAGUAGUCAGAGAAGGCCUUUUCAGGGGCAUAUCUUUUGCUCAAAGAAGAGAUGGAGAAGAAUCUUGAAAAUACCUUCUAGACAGAGGAAAAACAAGACUGAUGUCUUGAGCCUGGUCCAGUUUGAUGUAUUUGAACAACAGCGAAAGCCAGCGUGGGUGGAGCUGGGUUAGUGAGGGUUACUGUUGAAAGUGACGGAGAUGGAGAUGUAGGCAAGAACCAGGUCACGGGCUCUGUGGGUCAGAGAUAAGUGAAUGGCAGUCAAACGGAGAAGGGCUUUUCCAUCUUUUCCUUCCCAGGAGUCAUCACUGACAAUAUCUCAACAUUAACACACAGAAAGACAGACAUAACAGCAAAUGAAUCAUUCUGAUGACCCAUCUUGAGAUGUUCCUACAGGUUAUGAUUACUGUGUCCCUGCCCAUAAGGUCAAAUUCCCUCCAAAUUUCUCUCUGGAAAAUGCAGUGCUCAGAAACCCCUGCCCCGGGCACUCCCACCCACCUCACCACGCAGCCUGCAUUCAUCAUCUUGCUCUUCUUCUUUGUCAUGUGCCUAAGAUUCCUUGAAGGAGAUGGUCCAACUCCAAGUAAAGCUCUCUCCAUAAAUAUUUAGACUGAAUAGAAGAUGUGCCAGAGACGCAAAGAAUCUGUCUGGAGGGAGAGGAGACCUUUCUCUUUGUUGUCUCUUCAGUCUUGUAAUUUAAUAUAUGGAUACGUGUCUUUGAAUAAUACAUAAGCAUCAAUUUACCACAAAGAGUUCCACAGAAACCUUAGCUUCUCAUCCUUCUGCUGUGCGCUGCGUGGCAUUUUCUUCUCAUCCUGGAAUAUACAUUCCUCUGGUUUACCUUUAUCACCUUCUUCUCUACUCCCAUGUUUCUGAUCACAUACUGUGUGUUGGGCUCUGUUAAACAUAUCAUUGCAGAGUCUAUAUUCAGGACCUCCCCUCUUCUCAGACUCACUUGUCAAUUCAUUUUGUUCAGGCUUCUCCCUCUGCCCCCGCUUCCCUGUCUGUUCCCACUGAGGUCAGUUCAGUCUCCAUGUUACUAAACCCAGCGGGCUUCUUUCUUGUCCAUAUUUUGCUAGAACCCCUCACUUACAUGGAUAGUGUUAACUGGUCCUUGCUGAGGCGCACAUCUCUUUGGGUGUCUGUUUGUGCCACUCUCUGGCUUGGACCCCUCUGACCGGUCCUUCUCUGUCUCUCAAAUUUUUGGCUCCUGGUGGCUUUGUCUUUGGCAGACUUCUUUCUCUCACUCCAUCCAUCUUUGCCACCAGGCUCUCAACCAUGCCUUGGCUUCAGCUCUAGUGGCUUCCAACCCUCUAUGCACCCCUGCCCAGACUUGAUAGCUGGUUACCAUCUGUGGGCUUGGAAAGCUAGCCUAGCCAACCAACACUCGCAGCUGAUGAAUGGGUUUUAAUGUGACCCCUGAUGAACCUGCCUCGUUCUAUUCCAGGGCUGGAACUCUUCCACCUCCAGUUAGUUUCCUGAAUGAACUUGAGUAAGUAUCUUCCCCUCUCUAGGCUUCAGUUGCCUUAAGUGUAGAGUGAGUGAGCUGGACCCCUUCAAAUCUCCUUCAGCUUUACAUGGGCAUGGCAUCUGGCAUAAGGAAACAUAAAUAACUGUUGUGGUUAUAAAGGGCCCAAUAAAUGAUACCCCACCCUUCUCCCCAAAUUCAGGACGAACAGAAUAAGGGAAAUUAAAGCCAUAUUUAAACAAAAGAAGUCAAAUGUCAGCUUCAUCAGAUACAAGGAGACCCAUCUACUGGGUCCUCUUUACCUGUCUCCAAAUCCUCCUAGCAGAUAUUUCUCCAAGCAGGCAGAGAAACCACACUCUCCUAGCGUGAUGAAAAUUAUUCCUCUCGAAUGCUUGAUGAUGACAAAAUUUUGAUUUGAUUUAGCUUUUUCAACCUUGGGAGAUAUUCUAAGGCUGGAGGAAUGUUUAAACUCCUUCUGGCUGCUUGCUUAGCAUAAAGAUCUCUUCUCUAGACCCGGGGGUGGGAGUCACUCUUAUCUUCUCCUUUAAUCAAAUCAGUUCAGGCUGAAAAGAAGGCCAAGUUGACAGUCAGCAUUUCACCAGACUUCUACCUCCCUUGUAGCCAUGUUUUUUUUGUUUGUUUGUUUUUCUGCUUUACUGAAUGAGAUGAGUUACUUGAUUUCAAGGGCUCUCAAUCAGCAAGAACCAGAUGAACUUGUACCAUGCAGAAAUAGAAAGUACUCAAGGCUAAACAGAGGAAGAUAACAGGGUAAAGACCUUUCUGUUGUCUUUUACAGAUAAGGAAAGUGGGUCAGAAAGAGGAUGUGACACCCCCAAGGUCAAUGAACUUAAAAAAUAGCCAAGGUGUACAACAAUCCUGAUCCCGUAAGCUCCUAGGGGAAGAUACUAAUCCCCUCAGUGUUUCUCUAAUGCAGAUUGCCAACUGUUCAAAUCAGUAGCACAAGUGUAAAGUCUAGAGCAACUUCCAAUUCACCAUUGCUUAUAACUUCAAGGAGAAGAAUUAUAAGAAUUCUCCCCUCGUCCCAUCUGUUAUGCUGUUUCAUCUUAGAUCAACACAUUGAAAAUUAUGAAACUCUAUUUUUAACUAGAAGAGUAAUAUAACUAUUCUUAGGAAUUAUACUGGUAUUGUAACAAAUGAUCUUGUAGUUAAUACAGUGAAGUACAAUUAUAAUAUCAUUGCUUUUAUUCUUGUCAGUAAAUCAACAAGCACUCCAUGAACAAGAAUCACUAAAGAUGCAACAGGCUGGGGUUGUGGGGGGCACCCACACCUCACUCCAUGCAGAAAGCUCUCUGCCUGGGUCUCUGGAGACUCUGUAUUUCCU
Molecule: long non-coding RNA, 4566 nt
Organism: Cervus elaphus (red deer)
Lineage: Eukaryota; Metazoa; Chordata; Mammalia; Artiodactyla; Cervidae
Exons: 4
Source: RefSeq, a predicted model, not a curated record